AGAAUCAAAAAUCUCAGAAUGGUUAAGGUUGAAAGGGGCCACACUGGGUCAUUGGGUCCAACCUCCCUACUCAAGCAGGGCCAUUCCAGAGCACAUGGCACAGGAUUACUCUUCCUGAUGCUGCCCAAGGUACCACUGGC
Molecule: long non-coding RNA, 140 nt
Organism: Empidonax traillii (willow flycatcher)
Lineage: Eukaryota; Metazoa; Chordata; Aves; Passeriformes; Tyrannidae
Exons: 3
Source: RefSeq, a predicted model, not a curated record